RNAcentral lists this ribosomal RNA (1566 nucleotides) under Glomus sp. 10 SUN-2011. RNAcentral describes it as "eukaryotic LSU rRNA". The stretch from base 722 to 1566 matches the Rfam family "Eukaryotic large subunit ribosomal RNA", at positions 1 to 695 of the family's 3401-position model. Lineage: Eukaryota; Fungi; Glomeromycota; Glomeromycetes; Glomerales; Glomeraceae. The record is from RNAcentral.
UCGCUCUUCAACGAGGAAUCCCUAGUAAGCACAAGUCAUCAGCUUGUGUUGAUUACGUCCCUGCCCUUUGUACACACCGCCCGUCGCUACUACCGAUUGAAUGGCUUAGUGAGACCCUCGGAUUGGUAUUCAGAAGCUUUAACCGGCAUCCGUUUGCUGAGAAGUUGGUCAAACUUGGUCAUUUAGAGGAAGUAAAAGUCGUAACAAGGUUUCCGUAGGUGAACCUGCGGAAGGAUCAUUAAUGAUUUUUAAAGCGAGUCGUGCGUUAAGCGAGGCUUGCGAAAUAUUUAAAACCCCACUCUUUUUUAACUUUAAAAAAUAAAUCAUGAUACAUGAAUUUAAAAAAAAAGAUCACUUUCAACAACGGAUCUCUUGGCUCUCGCAUCGAUGAAGAACGCAGCGAAAUGCGAUAAGUAGUGUGAAUUGCAUAAUUUCGUGAAUCAUCGAAUCUUUGAACGCAAAUUGCACUCUCCGGUUUUCCGGGAGAGUAUGCCUGUUUGAGGGUCAGCCUAAAUAAAUUCGGCUUCGUUGCUGUUGUUUUCGCGGCAACGUUUUUAGUCGGGAUUUGGGUCAUCUUAAACCGAAAGGUUUUUAAGCGACUUAAAAUUUUUUUACGAUCCCACGAACGUUUCUAAGUACUUCUUACACGUUCAAGGUAUCGAAAACCCCUAUUAGGCGUGGCCGUCGUAUCGGAUCGCGUCCAUAAUAUUUAUUCUUUAACUGACCUCAGACAGGUAAGAAUACCCGCUGAACUUAAGCAUAUCAAUAAGCGGAGGAAAAGAAAAUAACAAUGAUUCCCUUAGUAACGGCGAGCGAAGGGGGAAAAGCUCAAAUUUUAAAUCUGCUAGGUCAUACCUAUCAGAGUUGUAGUUUGAAGAAACGUUUUCCGCGUCUCGGUUGGCCUAAAUCCUUUGGGAUAAGGUAUCAUGGAGGGUUAGAAUCCCGUCUGGCCGACCUUGUGAUGCUUUACGAUACGUUUUCUAAGAGUCGAGUUGUUUGGGAUUGCAGCUCAAAAUGGGAGGUAAAUUUCUCCUAAGGCUAAAUACCGGCGAGAGACCGAUAGCGAACAAGUACCGUGAGGGAAAGAUGAAAAGAACUUUGAAAAGAGAGUUAAAUAGUACGUGAAAUUGUUGAAAGGGAAACGAUUGAAGUCAGUCGUACUGGCGAAAAAUCAACUACUCGAGUGAGUACUUGUGGGCGUACGUGAGCUUCACGGCCGCGUUGUUUGCAAUGUUCGUGCUCUUGUGGUGUACUUUUUCGUAUGGUAGGUCAAUGUCGGUUUUGGACGCCAUAAAAUGAUCGGAGGAAUGUAGCUUCGACCUCGGUUGAAGUGUUAUAGCCUUUGGUAGAUGUGGUGUUUGGGACCGAGGAUUGCAACGAAUACCCUUUGGGCUAUCCGUCUGAUCUCUGUUGGUUAGCUGGGUGCCGAAAGCGUGCUUACGGUCAUCUAAGUUGACUGUCAAUAGGUUAGAACGUGAUUACAUUCGUUAAGGACGUUGACGUAAUGGCUUUAAACGACCCGUCUUGAAACACGGACCAAGGAGUCUAACAUAUAUGCGAGUGUUU